GUACAGGGUAGUUUAGUGGACAUGGCAUCUGCCCAGUAAGCAGAACACUGGGGUUCGAUUCCCAUCCCGGACA
This 73-nucleotide transfer RNA is filed under the name Cordylochernes scorpioides. RNAcentral's name for it is "tRNA-Thr". Lineage: Eukaryota; Metazoa; Arthropoda; Arachnida; Pseudoscorpiones; Chernetidae. The record is from RNAcentral.